Molecule: long non-coding RNA, 996 nt
Filed under: Ixodes scapularis (black-legged tick)
Lineage: Eukaryota; Metazoa; Arthropoda; Arachnida; Ixodida; Ixodidae
Description: uncharacterized LOC121836793
Source: RNAcentral
UUAUUUUGGCAGUGUCUGCGUCGACCCGGUCUACGCAACGCCCAGCGUUGGGUAGACCCAGAAUUGUGAUUGGCUAUUAAGAAAAAGUCACGUGUCUAUAUAAAUUGAGUGAAUUAUUUUGUUAAGGUUAUUUAUAUAAAUUUUAAAUUAGUAGAAAUGAAAUUAUAUUAGAUAUAUGCAAUGCAUUCUGAGAUAAUUAUUAUGUGUAAUGUCACGUGUUACAUUUGAUGAGGGGCGGGAGAAUCCCUUCGGUUUCCCGCGUUUUGACCGUUGUUUACUUUCUUCGGCUCCUGGUGUUCCUGCAACCUUCGCAAGUCCACCUCUAUUUGUUGUGAACCCUCGUUUCUGAGCGUUGAUCUUCCCUUCUUGGUGUCUUGUUGAUUUUUUUCACGUAUUUAUUUCUUUCGCGAGAUUCCGAUUGCCUUUGUAUUUAGCCCAAAACUCGGGUGUACCACGUGCUUUGAUAUCUGGGGGUUCCGUGACUGGGACAACUGGGGUUUCUUGUGGAAAGACCUUCGGCAUUUUCCUAUUGAAACCAGACGUGGCUGUCGAGAUUCAGUCGAUUCGUUCUUUAGCGGCGAUUAAGCGUCUGUUCGUCAUGACUGCUGGAUUGACGGUCAUCCUCCCGAGGCAAAGCAGCCCGCGGUGGACGUGCCGAGGUUCUGCGGGAAAGAACAAGGAUGCCCGGGAGACGAACACUUUCUGCAGGAACCACAAGGCAGGCCAUGGUUUCAUCGAACAGCCGGGAGUGGAGCGGGAUGCUGAAGGAUAGAGGCGCUCACUUCAGUGAGCCCAGCUUGAACCCCACCAUUGGUGUCCUGGGCACCACUCUGAAUAAGCUGCUUCAGUUGUGACUUGUAGCACUAAGUUCCUGUCACCCAGUUCAUCGUCAUCUCGGAACCAAGGGCAUUGGUCCUGCCUGCUAGUUACCACUUGAAUAAAAGUUGGAAUGGUGCAGUGUGUUUGUGUAAAUAAACUGUUGAAGUUGUGACAGUA